RNAcentral lists this ribosomal RNA (665 nucleotides) under uncultured Planctomycetota bacterium. RNAcentral's name for it is "bacterial SSU rRNA". It matches the Rfam family "Bacterial small subunit ribosomal RNA", at positions 129 to 798 of the family's 1533-position model. Lineage: Bacteria; Pseudomonadati; Planctomycetota. The record is from RNAcentral.
CCCCAUGACUGGGUAUAGCCGCGGGAAACUGCGGGUAAUCCCCAGCGACGUCCGGGAGGGGCAUCCCUCCUUGACCAAAGCUCCGGCGUCGUGGGACGGGCUGUCGUGGUAUUAGCUUGUUGGCGGGGUAACGGCCCACCAAGGCCAUGAUGCCUACCGGGCGUGCGAGCGUGGCCCGGCACACUGGGACUGAGACACUGCCCAGACUCCUACGGGAGGCUGCAGUCGAGAAUCUUCGGCAAUGGGCGCAAGCCUGACCGAGCGACGCCGCGUGGAGGACGAAGGCCUUCGGGUUGUAAACUCCUGUCGAGGGGGAAGAAGGGCCCUUAAAAGCCUUGACUGAUCCCUGGAGGAAGCACGGGCUAAGUUCGUGCCAGCAGCCGCGGUAAGACGAACCGUGCGAACGUUAUUCGGAAUCACUGGGCUUAAAGCGCGUGUAGGCGGGUUGGAACGUCGGCCGUUGAAAUCCCCCGGCUUAACCGGGGAAGUGGCGCCGAUACGACCAGCCUGGAGGAACGUAGGGGGAGCUGGAACUUCCGGUGGAGCGGUGAAAUGCGUUGAGAUCGGAAGGAACGCCCGUGGCGAAAGCGAGCUCCUGGACGUUUUCUGACGCUGAGACGCGAAAGCCAGGGGAGCGAACGGGAUUAGAUACCCCGGUAGUCCUG